Molecule: ribosomal RNA, 253 nt
Filed under: uncultured bacterium
Lineage: Bacteria
Description: partial 16S ribosomal RNA
Rfam family: Bacterial small subunit ribosomal RNA
Source: RNAcentral
UACGAGUGGUGCUAGCGUUAUUCGGAAUUAUUGGGCGUACAGGGUGCGCAGACGGUAUAUUAAGUCAACUGUCAAAACCCUCGGCUUAACCGAGGACCGGCAGUAGAUACUGGUAUGCUAGAGGAUGGAAGAGAGAAGUGGAAUUCUUGGAGUAGCGGUAAAAUGCGUAGAUCUCAAGAGGAACACCGAUGGCGAAGGCAGCUUCUUGGUCCAUUUCUGACGUUCAUGCACGAAAGCGUGGGGAGCAAACAGG